UCCCCGGUAGCUCAAUCGGUGGAGCAGGUGGCUGUUAACCACAAGGCUGUAGGUUCGAGUCCUGCCCGGGGAGCCA
This 76-nucleotide transfer RNA is filed under the name Candidatus Fischerbacteria bacterium RBG_13_37_8. RNAcentral describes it as "tRNA-Asn". It matches the Rfam family "tRNA". Rfam says of the family: Transfer RNA (tRNA) molecules are approximately 80 nucleotides in length. Their secondary structure includes four short double-helical elements and three loops (D, anti-codon, and T loops). Further hydrogen bonds mediate the characteristic L-shaped molecular structure. tRNAs have two regions of fundamental functional importance: the anti-codon, which is responsible for specific mRNA codon recognition, and the 3' end, to which the tRNAs corresponding amino acid is attached (by aminoacyl-tRNA synthetases). tRNAs cope with the degeneracy of the genetic code in two manners: having more than one tRNA (with a specific anti-codon) for a particular amino acid; and 'wobble' base-pairing, i.e. permitting non-standard base-pairing at the 3rd anti-codon position. The record is from RNAcentral. Lineage: Bacteria; Candidatus Fischeribacteriota.